Molecule: ribosomal RNA, 253 nt
Filed under: uncultured bacterium
Lineage: Bacteria
Description: partial 16S ribosomal RNA
Rfam family: Bacterial small subunit ribosomal RNA
Source: RNAcentral
UACAGAGGUCUCAAGCGUUGUUCGGAUUCAUUGGGCGUAAAGGGUGCGUAGGUGGCGCUGUAAGUCGGGUGUGAAAUUUCGGAGCUUAACUCCGAAACUGCAUUCGAUACUGCGGUGCUUGAGGACUGGAGAGGAGAACGGAAUUCCUGGUGUAGCGGUGAAAUGCGCAGAUAUCAGGAGGAACACCGGUGGCGAAGGCGGUUCUCUGGGCAUGUCCUGACGCUGAGGAGCGAAAGUGUGGGGAGCGAACAGG